CUCCCGAGUAGCUGGGACUACAGGCGACCGCCAUGACGCCCGGCUAAAUUUUUGUGUUUUUAGUAGAGACGGGGUUUCACCGUGUUAGCCAGGAUGGUCUCGAUUUCCUGACCUCGGGAUCCACCCGCCUCGGCCUCCCAAAGUGCUGGGAUUACAGGUGUGAGCCACCGCGCCCGGCAGAUAUAUCUUAUUUUUAAAAUCCACAUUAUUGAGUAAAAUCUCACAGUGGAAGGCAUGAGAUCCUGGCUUUGCCAGGCAAAAUUGGACCUGGAAGUAAGCCAAGUGAGGCUGCAGCAGCGGAGGGUCAACCUUCUGCACAGAGCAGCAGUGGAAGUGGUCAUCUUUGGAGGAAAACAUGGAGGCUGCUGUGUCCAGUUCUGAAUCUGUGAUGGUGGUGUAACAUGGCUAGUACUUCGAAAACUUUGAAGAGCCCUUAGUGAUGCUGUUUGCAGCCCUUCAGUCCUAUUCAACACCUCCAAAGGAAAUGAAGCUGAAACUACAGCUCAGACAAGUUGAGAGACUUGGCCAAGAUGAAGAGGGAGAUGAAAAAGACAUGGCUUUCUAACAAGGAGAAGACUGAGCUCCAAACAAGUCAUAAUCCUAGAGACAGGUACCUGGGCAAGGU
Molecule: long non-coding RNA, 625 nt
Filed under: Homo sapiens (human)
Lineage: Eukaryota; Metazoa; Chordata; Mammalia; Primates; Hominidae
Description: HSALNT0174197
Source: RNAcentral